GUGCUGGCUUUGGCAGCACAUGUACUAAAACUGGAACAAUAGAAGAUUAGUAUGGCCCCUGGGCAAGGAUGACACCCAAAUUCGUGAAGCAUUCCAUAUUAAA
Molecule: small nuclear RNA, 103 nt
Organism: Balaenoptera musculus (blue whale)
Lineage: Eukaryota; Metazoa; Chordata; Mammalia; Artiodactyla; Balaenopteridae
Source: Ensembl